Molecule: transfer RNA, 71 nt
Filed under: SAR324 cluster bacterium
Lineage: Bacteria; Deltaproteobacteria
Also listed under: 1 other name
Description: tRNA-Gly
Rfam family: tRNA
About the family: Transfer RNA (tRNA) molecules are approximately 80 nucleotides in length. Their secondary structure includes four short double-helical elements and three loops (D, anti-codon, and T loops). Further hydrogen bonds mediate the characteristic L-shaped molecular structure. tRNAs have two regions of fundamental functional importance: the anti-codon, which is responsible for specific mRNA codon recognition, and the 3' end, to which the tRNAs corresponding amino acid is attached (by aminoacyl-tRNA synthetases). tRNAs cope with the degeneracy of the genetic code in two manners: having more than one tRNA (with a specific anti-codon) for a particular amino acid; and 'wobble' base-pairing, i.e. permitting non-standard base-pairing at the 3rd anti-codon position.
Source: RNAcentral
GCGGGUGUAGUUCAAUGGUAGAACCCCAGCCUUCCAAGCUGGUGGCGUGAGUUCGAUUCUCAUCACCCGCU